GAUGAACGCUAGCUACAGGCUUAACACAUGCAAGUCGCGGGGCAGCAUGGGGGUUGCUUGCAAUCCCCGAUGGCGACCGGCGCACGGGUGAGUAACGCGUAUCCAACCUGCCCUUCACCACGGGAUAACCCGGCGAAAGUCGGACUAAUACCGUAUGUUGUCCAUUGACGGCAUCCGAUUUGGACGAAAGGCUUGGCGGUGAGGGAUGGGGAUGCGUCCGAUUAGCCAGACGGCGGGGUAACGGCCCACCGUGGCUACGAUCGGUAGGGGUUCUGAGAGGAAGGUCCCCCACACUGGAACUGAGACACGGUCCAGACUCCUACGGGAGGCAGCAGUGAGGAAUAUUGGUCAAUGGGCGUAAGCCUGAACCAGCCAAGUAGCGUGCAGGAUGACGGCCCUAUGGGUUGUAAACUGCUUUUAAGCGGGGAUAAAGUGGCCCACGUGUGGGCUUUUGCAGGUACCGCAUGAAUAAGGACCGGCUAAUUCCGUG
RNAcentral lists this ribosomal RNA (490 nucleotides) under uncultured bacterium. RNAcentral describes it as "partial 16S ribosomal RNA". It matches the Rfam family "Bacterial small subunit ribosomal RNA", at positions 28 to 507 of the family's 1533-position model. The record is from RNAcentral.